CUCGUAGGCGGCCAACUAAGUCGGACGUGAAAUCCCUCGGCUUAACCGGGGAACUGCGUCUGAUACUGGAUGGCUUGAGUUUGGGAGAGGGAUGCGGAAUUCCAGGUGUAGCGGUGAAAUGCGUAGAUAUCUGGAGGAACACCGGUGGCGAAGGCGGCAUCCUGGACCAACACUGACGCUGAGGAGCGAAAGCCAGGGGAGCAAACG
Molecule: ribosomal RNA, 207 nt
Filed under: uncultured bacterium
Lineage: Bacteria
Description: partial 16S ribosomal RNA
Rfam family: Bacterial small subunit ribosomal RNA
Source: RNAcentral